AUAAAACUAUUGAAAAGAAAAUAAUUUAUAUAAAAUUAAAAAAUUAAAUUAAUUUAGAUUGUUUAAACCAAACAAAGAGAAACAGUACCCUAGAAAAUUUAGAAAUAGAGAAGAAAGUAUAAAGCUGCCGUUACCGAUUAAUAGCCGGAUCUAAAAGCCGCCACUUAAUCUCAGAUUUAUAUUACUGCUGAUUUUAAAGCCAUUUCAGCCCUCUAGCUUGUAAAAAUUAGUCAGAAAACAUGAACGGCAAUUGUCUGCCCACCGACUCCUUUUUAGGGUUAAAAAGCUCUCUGAUAAAACUGUUUUGCUAACUAGAGGUUCUUUCUCCGCUGGCUUUGAUCUUUCAAGUAAUAUUGUGCUGCAGUGCAACCCAGACUAAAGUUCCUGCUUGAGGAAAAGCUCUAAUCCCAACAGAUCUAAGCAUUGUUGUACCCAAAGGAACAUAGGCUGGUAAUGGUAUAUCUAUAACAUCCUUUCUUUUUCAUGUUCUAAUUGAUUUUGUUUUCAAUAAAAAUUAAAGCUUACAAGACUGACAUAGAAGUACUCCAUUGAUUUUGUAAAUGCAUUUUAGUUGCAACUGUUUGUUUAAAGUUAUCAAACUUGUCAGUCUCACUGCUCGGUAAUGAAGCAAAAAGAGGAAAUCCACAUCCAUUACUUAAUCUCCAGUAUAGAAAAUUAAACAACAUAGCUAUUAUUUCUGUAAUAAUGCAAAAUGCACAGCCUUAAUGUGCAUAUACUUGAGAUACCCAAUUAAACAACUCAUAAUUUGAUAAAAUAUACAAUCAGUUCAAUUCACAGGGAUCAAUCCUACAGAAUACUAAUUUUUUUCCCUAGGAAUCAAUCUUUUAGAUCAAUAUAGUUACUUGAAGUAGGCAUUACGCGUUUCCACUAGCUGGAAUGCUAUUGCCCAGCAUAAGUCUCUUCUUCCCUUGACUCGAGUUCUGCAAAACAUAGAAAGCGCAACCUAUAAGAUUUAUGCAAAAAGGCCCAGGAAUCUGAAUUAUAUUCAAUUAAGUCCAAAUCUAAAGAAUCAUGUUUAGGGAAAAGAGAAGAAAAAACUUAACUGGUGUAGUAGAAUGAAGAGGAAGUGGGUCAGUAUUGAAAGAUCUAAUAAGAGACAUUUUAGCGAUCUCAGAAACAGCAGCGUCUCUAACACCAGAAACAUCACUAACCAAAGCUUCAUAAGCAGCUUCGAAAGCCUCUCGCCAAAAACGAGGCAAUUUACUGCUACUACUGUGUGUGUAUAUAUCCCACAUAUGUUUCACCGUCUUCUCUUUCUCCUCCACUUCCUACAAACCAGCUCAACCCAAUUAAUAUGUAAAAAUUAGUUUAAUUUUUUUUUAAAAAGAAAAAACAGAUGAAAUAGUAAUAUUUAAUUACGAGGAUGUCGAGAUCUUCAUCAAGAAUUGGAGAACCAAGAUCAUCAGAGAUAUGGGAAAGAUGGCCGGUGGACCAUUUGAGAGUAACAGAGCCGGUAAACAUGGACCAAAAUGCAAGAAGGAGAAUUGCAGUAAAGACCCAGAACUUAUAUUUAAUUUUGCUAAAAGGACCAAGAUCAGAGCUAUCUUUCUUGCUUAAUGUUGUUGUUGCUGCGGUGCUUGAAGUUGAAGAUGGUAUUGAUAUAACUGUGGGAGCAUCGUCCUUCAUUUUCAGGUGCAGAAAAUUCAAAUCAGUACCAGUAGUGCCGUACUGUAAAAGAAUUUUGGGUGUAAGAAAUCGAAAAGGAUCGAGACAAGUAUUUUGGUAAAUGUGCCACUCACUGGGGGCUGGUGGUGGUGGGUAGUGUGGGUUAUUGCACUAUGGAUUACAGAAGUAUUUCAUUAUUUGUAUCGAAUUUUGUUUUCAAUUGGGGACCGACGAAGUGGGUUUUGUUACGCGCAAUUAAUGUUCCUACGUACCCUUUUUGACUAUUAUGUUUUCAUAUUUGAACUUUGUCUUUCUUUCCA
Molecule: long non-coding RNA, 1946 nt
Organism: Mercurialis annua (annual mercury)
Lineage: Eukaryota; Viridiplantae; Streptophyta; Magnoliopsida; Malpighiales; Euphorbiaceae
Exons: 3
Source: RefSeq, a predicted model, not a curated record